RNAcentral lists this ribosomal RNA (460 nucleotides) under uncultured bacterium. RNAcentral's name for it is "partial 16S ribosomal RNA". It matches the Rfam family "Bacterial small subunit ribosomal RNA", at positions 338 to 795 of the family's 1533-position model. The record is from RNAcentral.
CCUACGGGUGGCAGCAGUGAGGAAUAUUGGUCAAUGGGCGUGAGCCUGAACCAGCCAAGUAGCGUGAAGGAUGACUGCCCUCCGGGUUGUAAACUUCUUUUAUAAGGGAAUAAAGUGCGGCACGUGUGCCUUUUUGUAUGUACUUCAUGAAUAAGGACCGGCUAAUUCCGUGCCAGCUGCCGCGGUAAUACGGAUGUUCCGAGCGUUAUCCGGAUUUAUUGGGUUUAAAGGGAGCGUAGAUGGGUUGUUAAGUCAGUCGUGAAAGUUUGGGGCUCAACCGUAGAAUUGCAAUUGAUACUGGCAGCCUUGAGUACAGGUGAGGUAGGCGGAAUUCGUGGUGUAGCGGUGAAAUGCUUAGAUAUCACGAAGAACUCCGAUUGCGAAGGCAGCUUACUGAACGGCCACUGACGUUGAUGCUCGAAAGUGUGGGUAUCAAACAGGAUUAGAUACCCGAGUAGUC